Molecule: transfer RNA, 69 nt
Filed under: Methylocella silvestris
Lineage: Bacteria; Pseudomonadati; Pseudomonadota; Alphaproteobacteria; Hyphomicrobiales; Beijerinckiaceae
Description: tRNA-Ser
Source: RNAcentral
GCGGGUAGUUGAUGGAUAUGAACCUUGCCAAGGUUGGGGUCGAGGGUUCGAAUCCCUUCGCCCGCUCCA